Molecule: ribosomal RNA, 101 nt
Organism: Capra hircus (goat)
Lineage: Eukaryota; Metazoa; Chordata; Mammalia; Artiodactyla; Bovidae
Source: Ensembl
GUCUAUGGCCAUACCACCCUGAGCACACACGAGCUCGUCUGCAGGGUUGGGCCUGGUUAGUACUUGGGUGGGAAAACAGCAAGAGAUCCUGGUAGAUGGCU